This 2904-nucleotide ribosomal RNA is filed under the name Escherichia coli. RNAcentral's name for it is "23S ribosomal RNA". It matches the Rfam family "Bacterial large subunit ribosomal RNA". The record is from RNAcentral. Lineage: Bacteria; Pseudomonadati; Pseudomonadota; Gammaproteobacteria; Enterobacterales; Enterobacteriaceae.
GGUUAAGCGACUAAGCGUACACGGUGGAUGCCCUGGCAGUCAGAGGCGAUGAAGGACGUGCUAAUCUGCGAUAAGCGUCGGUAAGGUGAUAUGAACCGUUAUAACCGGCGAUUUCCGAAUGGGGAAACCCAGUGUGAUUCGUCACACUAUCAUUAACUGAAUCCAUAGGUUAAUGAGGCGAACCGGGGGAACUGAAACAUCUAAGUACCCCGAGGAAAAGAAAUCAACCGAGAUUCCCCCAGUAGCGGCGAGCGAACGGGGAGGAGCCCAGAGCCUGAAUCAGUGUGUGUGUUAGUGGAAGCGUCUGGAAAGGCGCGCGAUACAGGGUGACAGCCCCGUACACAAAAAUGCACAUACUGUGAGCUCGAUGAGUAGGGCGGGACACGUGGUAUCCUGUCUGAAUAUGGGGGGACCAUCCUCCAAGGCUAAAUACUCCUGACUGACCGAUAGUGAACCAGUACCGUGAGGGAAAGGCGAAAAGAACCCCGGCGAGGGGAGUGAAAAAGAACCUGAAACCGUGUACGUACAAGCAGUGGGAGCCUCUUUAUGGGGUGACUGCGUACCUUUUGUAUAAUGGGUCAGCGACUUAUAUUCUGUAGCAAGGUUAACCGAAUAGGGGAGCCGAAGGGAAACCGAGUCUUAACUGGGCGUUAAGUUGCAGGGUAUAGACCCGAAACCCGGUGAUCUAGCCAUGGGCAGGUUGAAGGUUGGGUAACACUAACUGGAGGACCGAACCGACUAAUGUUGAAAAAUUAGCGGAUGACUUGUGGCUGGGGGUGAAAGGCCAAUCAAACCGGGAGAUAGCUGGUUCUCCCCGAAAGCUAUUUAGGUAGCGCCUCGUGAAUUCAUCUCCGGGGGUAGAGCACUGUUUCGGCAAGGGGGUCAUCCCGACUUACCAACCCGAUGCAAACUGCGAAUACCGGAGAAUGUUAUCACGGGAGACACACGGCGGGUGCUAACGUCCGUCGUGAAGAGGGAAACAACCCAGACCGCCAGCUAAGGUCCCAAAGUCAUGGUUAAGUGGGAAACGAUGUGGGAAGGCCCAGACAGCCAGGAUGUUGGCUUAGAAGCAGCCAUCAUUUAAAGAAAGCGUAAUAGCUCACUGGUCGAGUCGGCCUGCGCGGAAGAUGUAACGGGGCUAAACCAUGCACCGAAGCUGCGGCAGCGACACUAUGUGUUGUUGGGUAGGGGAGCGUUCUGUAAGCCUGUGAAGGUGUACUGUGAGGUAUGCUGGAGGUAUCAGAAGUGCGAAUGCUGACAUAAGUAACGAUAAAGCGGGUGAAAAGCCCGCUCGCCGGAAGACCAAGGGUUCCUGUCCAACGUUAAUCGGGGCAGGGUGAGUCGACCCCUAAGGCGAGGCCGAAAGGCGUAGUCGAUGGGAAACAGGUUAAUAUUCCUGUACUUGGUGUUACUGCGAAGGGGGGACGGAGAAGGCUAUGUUGGCCGGGCGACGGUUGUCCCGGUUUAAGCGUGUAGGCUGAUUUUCCAGGCAAAUCCGGAAAAUCAAGGCUGAGGCGUGAUGACGAGGCACUACGGUGCUGAAGCAACAAAUGCCCUGCUUCCAGGAAAAGCCUCUAAGCAUCAGGUAACAUCAAAUCGUACCCCAAACCGACACAGGUGGUCAGGUAGAGAAUACCAAGGCGCUUGAGAGAACUCGGGUGAAGGAACUAGGCAAAAUGGUGCCGUAACUUCGGGAGAAGGCACGCUGAUAUGUAGGUGAAGCGACUUGCUCGUGGAGCUGAAAUCAGUCGAAGAUACCAGCUGGCUGCAACUGUUUAUUAAAAACACAGCACUGUGCAAACACGAAAGUGGACGUAUACGGUGUGACGCCUGCCCGGUGCCGGAAGGUUAAUUGAUGGGGUUAGCGGUAACGCGAAGCUCUUGAUCGAAGCCCCGGUAAACGGCGGCCGUAACUAUAACGGUCCUAAGGUAGCGAAAUUCCUUGUCGGGUAAGUUCCGACCUGCACGAAUGGCGUAAUGAUGGCCAGGCUGUCUCCACCCGAGACUCAGUGAAAUUGAACUCGCUGUGAAGAUGCAGUGUACCCGCGGCAAGACGGAAAGACCCCGUGAACCUUUACUAUAGCUUGACACUGAACAUUGAGCCUUGAUGUGUAGGAUAGGUGGGAGGCUUUGAAGUGUGGACGCCAGUCUGCAUGGAGCCGACCUUGAAAUACCACCCUUUAAUGUUUGAUGUUCUAACGUUGGCCCCUGAUCGGGGUUGCGGACAGUGUCUGGUGGGUAGUUUGACUGGGGCGGUCUCCUCCUAAAGAGUAACGGAGGAGCACGAAGGUUGGCUAAUCCUGGUCGGACAUCAGGAGGUUAGUGCAAUGGCAUAAGCCAGCUUGACUGCGAGCGUGACGGCGCGAGCAGGUGCGAAAGCAGGUCAUAGUGAUCCGGUGGUUCUGAAUGGAAGGGCCAUCGCUCAACGGAUAAAAGGUACUCCGGGGAUAACAGGCUGAUACCGCCCAAGAGUUCAUAUCGACGGCGGUGUUUGGCACCUCGAUGUCGGCUCAUCACAUCCUGGGGCUGAAGUAGGUCCCAAGGGUAUGGCUGUUCGCCAUUUAAAGUGGUACGCGAGCUGGGUUUAGAACGUCGUGAGACAGUUCGGUCCCUAUCUGCCGUGGGCGCUGGAGAACUGAGGGGGGCUGCUCCUAGUACGAGAGGACCGGAGUGGACGCAUCACUGGUGUUCGGGUUGUCAUGCCAAUGGCACUGCCCGGUAGCUAAAUGCGGAAGAGAUAAGUGCUGAAAGCAUCUAAGCACGAAACUUGCCCCGAGAUGAGUUCUCCCUGACUCCUUGAGAGUCCUGAAGGAACGUUGAAGACGACGACGUUGAUAGGCCGGGUGUGUAAGCGCAGCGAUGCGUUGAGCUAACCGGUACUAAUGAACCGUGAGGCUUAACCUU